GUGGUGGCACACGACUGGCGAAGGUGGGCGACCACCGGGGAGUGACGGUUGUGGGCAUCGACCGCCUGGGUGCCCGCU
This 78-nucleotide non-coding RNA is filed under the name Brachybacterium sp. Its description in RNAcentral is "ZTP sequence". It matches the Rfam family "ZMP/ZTP riboswitch aptamer (pfl RNA motif)". From Rfam's summary of the family: Previously known as pfl RNA. ZMP is also known as AICAR. The record is from RNAcentral. Lineage: Bacteria; Bacillati; Actinomycetota; Actinomycetes; Micrococcales; Dermabacteraceae.